GUGGGGAAUUUUGGACAAUGGGCGAAAGCCUGAUCCAGCCAUGCCGCGUGCAGGAUGAAGGCCUUCGGGUUGUAAACUGCUUUUGUACGGAACGAAAAGACUCUGGUUAAUACCUGGGGUCCAUGACGGUACCGUAAGAAUAAGCACCGGCUAACUACGUGCCAGCAGCCGCGGUAAUACGUAGGGUGCAAGCGUUAAUCGGAAUUACUGGGCGUAAAGCGUGCGCAGGCGGUUAUAUAAGACAGAUGUGAAAUGCCCGGGCUCAACCUGGGAACUGCAUUUGUGACUGUAUAGCUAGAGUACGGCAGAGGGGGAUGGAAUUCCGCGUGUAGCAGUGAAAUGCGUAGAUAUGCGGAGGAACACCGAUGGCGAAGGCAAUCCCCUGGGCCUGUACUGACGCUCAUGCACGAAAGCGUGGGGAGCAAACAGGAUUAGAUACCCUAGUAGUCC
This 450-nucleotide ribosomal RNA is filed under the name uncultured bacterium. RNAcentral's name for it is "partial 16S ribosomal RNA". It matches the Rfam family "Bacterial small subunit ribosomal RNA", at positions 354 to 796 of the family's 1533-position model. The record is from RNAcentral.